CCCAUUCAUGCUAAGUACUGAAAUUGUUGAAGGUAUAACAUACUGAUUGAAAUGGAGCUUAGUUAGUUUGUUUGAAAAAUCCAAAUAUAACAAGAACACGAUUACUGCAGAACCAGUGAUAAGGAAGAAGAGUACUGGAAACAAGAUUCAUGAAGGAGAGAGGAGAUACAAUAUUUGAAAAAUACAGACUGGGAACACUUUUCGUGUCAUCUGGAAACAUUACAUCGUGAAUGGCGUUGACAAGGCCCUUUACUGGAUGGGAUAGGACAUUUAACAUUUUUGUCUGGAGUGCCCGGGUAACCUGCAGACCCAGUGACUCCAGGAACCCCCGAAGACCCCUUCUCUCCUUUAGGCCCUGGGCAUGGAAAUGGAAUAACCAUCUGUGUGAUUAAUCUUCGCCUGCUGGUCCUGGAAAACCUGGAGCUCCUCGAUCACCUGGAAAACCUGGAUCACCCAAAGAC
Acipenser ruthenus (sterlet) is the source of this 461-nucleotide long non-coding RNA. RefSeq lists it as uncharacterized. NCBI's taxonomy places the organism in Eukaryota, Metazoa, Chordata, Actinopteri, Acipenseriformes, Acipenseridae. The record is from RefSeq and is a predicted model, not a curated record. The transcript is spliced from 4 exons.